This 1069-nucleotide long non-coding RNA is filed under the name Fukomys damarensis (Damara mole-rat). RNAcentral describes it as "lncRNA (ENSFDAG00000025451.1)". The record is from RNAcentral. Lineage: Eukaryota; Metazoa; Chordata; Mammalia; Rodentia; Bathyergidae.
GGUGUCUUCAGUUUAGAGUUGACAAAUAGAGCUGCAUGAAGCUUGGAAACUGAGAGGUUACCUUGACAGACAAGGAGCACAAUUAUCACAAUAUGAUGAAAGAGUUUCCAUGAGUAUGUAUUGCACCGUUAAUUACUGUCCUUUUUCUACAGGCUUCUAAUGUGAGGAAAAACACGGAAUGACAAGUGUGGGAAAGAGCAAGCACUAAAUUACUGUCAGAAAAAUAAACGGAGUAGCACAGUGGUGCUCAGUGAUUUACGGGGGCAAUUAGUCACCACCCCACGGCACUGCUGAGGACAGCAUGGCAGCAGACACGUCAGGCCCAUGAGGAAGAAGAGGCUUUGCGCUGCUCUCCAGACAACUUUUCAAACAACACAAGAAUCUGAGUACAUUAGGUUCCAUGUCUUCAGUCUGGCCAAGAAUACCUGCUGUGAAAUGUGUUCAGUGUGUAUGUGUACAGCUGGAGAAUGUGCCCCAACAUGCUUUGCCUUUGGCCUUUAAUCUGGAGUCAUAAAGAAGCAGACCAUAUUGAUGAGCUUGGUACCCAGACUGGUGCACCAUUCAAUUGGAUGCCGGGUCUCUGCUAAAGAGAGUCACAAUGAAGAGAAUCUUCAGAUCUCUCUUGCUACUCUUCUGUUAUUCUGUUGUUAGGCUUUGUUUCCCUUGAAUUUUUUAAGCAUGCACUUUUAAAAACAAUUAAUAACAAACACUAAGAUUUGGUAUAGAAUUGCAUAUUUGCAACUGCAAAGGUACCAGUAUUCAACUAUUCUGUAACAAGGAAAGAAAACCAGGAAGAGAGACAAAUGUGUUUCUCUGUAACAUCACAGACAUAUGAAAUUGUUCACAUCUUAUGGAGAUACGGGGAAUAAUUCAACAUGGAAAUUUAACCAGUUAUUUUCCACCUGUGAAUAAGGUGCAUUUAAAAGUGCAUCAUUAUAUUUAGAUUUCUCUCUUUUUUCCUAAAAUCACCUUGUAGCUUCUGGUAGAGGGACACACUGGGAGAACUCCCCAUAUACAAAGAUAUGAAUUUUAAGAUAGAGCAUUAUAAAAAUAUUCCUAUAUGUGGCAC